CCCUGCUUUUGUGGGGUGCUCGAGUGGCGAACGGGUGAGUAACACGUGAGUAACCUGCCCUUGACUUUGGGAUAACUUCAGGAAACUGGGGCUAAUACCGGAUAGGAGCUCCUGCUGCAUGGUGGGGGUUGGAAAGUUUCGGCGGUUGGGGAUGGACUCGCGGCUUAUCAGCUUGUUGGUGGGGUAGUGGCUUACCAAGGCUUUGACGGGUAGCCGGCCUGAGAGGGUGACCGGCCACAUUGGGACUGAGAUACGGCCCAGACUCCUACGGGAGGCAGCAGUGGGGAAUAUUGCACAAUGGGCGGAAGCCUGAUGCAGCAACGCCGCGUGCGGGAUGACGGCCUUCGGGUUGUAAGCCGCUUUCGCCUGUGACGAAGCGUGAGUGACGGUAAUGGGUAAAGAAGCACCGGCUAACUACGUGCCAGCAGCCGCGGUGAUACGUAGGGUGCGAGCGUUGUCCGGAUUUAUUGGGCGUAAAGGGCUCGUAGGUGGUUGAUCGCGUCGGAAGUGUAAUCUUGGGGCUUAACCCUGAGCGUGCUUUCGAUACGGGUUGACUUGAGGAAGGUAGGGGAGAAUGGAAUUCCUGGUGGAGCGGUGGAAUGCGCAGAUAUCAGGAGGAACACCAGUGGCGAAGGCGGUUCUCUGGGCCUUUCCUGACGCUGAGGAGCGAAAGCGUGGGGAGCGAACAGGCUUAGAUACCCUGGUAGUCCACGCUGUAAACGGUGGGUACUAGGUGUGGGGUCCAUUCCACGGGUUCCGUGCCGUAGCUAACGCUUUAAGUACCCCGCCUGGGGAGUACGGCCGCAAGGCUAAAACUCAAAGGAAUUGACGGGGCCCCGCACAAGCGGCGGAGCAUGCGGAUUAAUUCGAUGCAACGCGUAGAACCUUACCUGGGUUUGACAUGGAUCGGGAGUGCUCAGAGAUGGGUGUGCCUCUUUUGGGGUCGGUUCACAGGUGGUGCAUGCCUGUCGUCAGCUCGUGUCGUGAGAUGUUGGGUUAAGUCCCGCAACGAGCGCAACCCUUGUUCACUGUUGCCAGCACGUUAUGGUGGGGACUCAGUGGAGACCGCCGGGGUCAAC
RNAcentral lists this ribosomal RNA (1079 nucleotides) under uncultured bacterium. Its description in RNAcentral is "bacterial SSU rRNA". It matches the Rfam family "Bacterial small subunit ribosomal RNA", at positions 73 to 1162 of the family's 1533-position model. The record is from RNAcentral.